This 1377-nucleotide ribosomal RNA is filed under the name Chryseobacterium indologenes. RNAcentral describes it as "bacterial SSU rRNA". It matches the Rfam family "Bacterial small subunit ribosomal RNA". The record is from RNAcentral. Lineage: Bacteria; Pseudomonadati; Bacteroidota; Flavobacteriia; Flavobacteriales; Weeksellaceae.
UGCAAGCCGAGCGGUAGAGUCUCUUCGGGGACUUGAGAGCGGCGCACGGGUGCGGAACACGUGUGCAACCUGCCUUUAUCUGGGGGAUAGCCUUUCGAAAGGAAGAUUAAUACCCCAUAAUAUACUGGAUGGCAUCAUCUGGUAUUGAAAACUCCGGUGGAUAGAGAUGGGCACGCGCAAGAUUAGAUAGUUGGUGAGGUAACGGCUCACCAAGUCAGCGAUCUUUAGGGGGCCUGAGAGGGUGAUCCCCCACACUGGUACUGAGACACGGACCAGACUCCUACGGGAGGCAGCAGUGAGGAAUAUUGGACAAUGGGUGAGAGCCUGAUCCAGCCAUCCCGCGUGAAGGACGACGGCCCUAUGGGUUGUAAACUUCUUUUGUAUAGGGAUAAACCUAGAUACGUGUAUCUAGCUGAAGGUACUAUACGAAUAAGCACCGGCUAACUCCGUGCCAGCAGCCGCGGUAAUACGGAGGGUGCAAGCGUUAUCCGGAUUUAUUGGGUUUAAAGGGUCCGUAGGCUGAUCUGUAAGUCAGUGGUGAAAUCUCACAGCUUAACUGUGAAACUGCCAUUGAUACUGCAGGUCUUGAGUGUUGUUGAAGUAGCUGGAAUAAGUAGUGUAGCGGUGAAAUGCAUAGAUAUUACUUAGAACACCAAUUGCGAAGGCAGGUUACUAAGCAACAACUGACGCUGAUGGACGAAAGCGUGGGGAGCGAACAGGAUUAGAUACCCUGGUAGUCCACGCCGUAAACGAUGCUAACUCGUUUUUGGGUUUUCGGAUUCAGAGACUAAGCGAAAGUGAUAAGUUAGCCACCUGGGGAGUACGAACGCAAGUUUGAAACUCAAAGGAAUUGACGGGGGCCCGCACAAGCGGUGGAUUAUGUGGUUUAAUUCGAUGAUACGCGAGGAACCUUACCAAGGCUUAAAUGGGAAAUGACAGGUUUAGAAAUAGACUUUUCUUCGGACAUUUUUCAAGGUGCUGCAUGGUUGUCGUCAGCUCGUGCCGUGAGGUGUUAGGUUAAGUCCUGCAACGAGCGCAACCCCUGUCACUAGUUGCCAUCAUUAAGUUGGGGACUCUAGUGAGACUGCCUACGCAAGUAGAGAGGAAGGUGGGGAUGACGUCAAAUCAUCACGGCCCUUACGCCUUGGGCCACACACGUAAUACAAUGGCCGGUACAGAGGGCAGCUACACAGCGAUGUGAUGCAAAUCUCGAAAGCCGGUCUCAGUUCGGAUUGGAGUCUGCAACUCGACUCUAUGAAGCUGGAAUCGCUAGUAAUCGCGCAUCAGCCAUGGCGCGGUGAAUACGUUCCCGGGCCUUGUACACACCGCCCGUCAAGCCAUGGAAGUCUGGGGUACCUGAAGUCGGUGACCGUAACA